This 497-nucleotide ribosomal RNA is filed under the name uncultured bacterium. RNAcentral's name for it is "partial 16S ribosomal RNA". It matches the Rfam family "Bacterial small subunit ribosomal RNA", at positions 28 to 507 of the family's 1533-position model. The record is from RNAcentral.
GAUGAACGCUGGCGGCGUGCCUAAUACAUGCAAGUCGAGCGAACGGACGAGAAGCUUGCUUUUCUGAUGUUAGCGGCGGACGGGUGAGUAACACGUGGAUAACCUACCUAUAAGACUGGGAUAACUUCGGGAAACCGGAGCUAAUACCGGAUAAUAUUUUGAACCGCAUGGUUCAAAAGUGAAAGACGGUCUUGCUGUCACUUAUAGAUGGAUCCGCGCUGCAUUAGCUAGUUGGUAAGGUAACGGCUUACCAAGGCAACGAUGCAUAGCCGACCUGAGAGGGUGAUCGGCCACACUGGAACUGAGACACGGUCCAGACUCCUACGGGAGGCAGCAGUAGGUAAUCUUCCGCAAUGGGCGAAAGCCUGACGGAGCAACGCCGCGUGAGUGAUGAAGGUCUUCGCAUCGUAAAACUCUGUUAUUAGGGAAGAACAUAUGUGUAAGUAACUGUGCACAUCUUGACGGUACCUAAUCAGAAAGCCACGGCUAACUACGUG